AGAGUUUGAUCCUGGCUCAGAUUGAACGCUGAUGCUUUACACUGCAAGUCGAACGGUAACAGGUUAAGCUGACGAGUGGCGAACGGGUGAGUAAUGCAUCGGAACGUGCCCGGUCGUGGGGGAUAACGCAGCGAAAACUGCGCUAAUACCGCAUACGAUCUGAGGAUGAAAGCGGGGGACCAAGGCCUCGCGCGAUCGGAGCGGCCGAUGUCAGAUUAGGUAGUUGGUGGGGUAAAGGCUCACCAAGCCGACGAUCUGUAGCUGGUCUGAGAGGACGACCAGCCACACUGGGACUGCUCACCAAGCCGACGAUCUGUAGCUGGUCUGAGAGGACGACCAGCCACACUGGGACUGCUCACCAAGCCGACGAUCUGUAGCUGGUCUGAGAGGACGACCAGCCACACUGGGACUGAACACGGCCCAGACUCCUACGGGAGGCAGCAGUGGGGAAUUUUGGACAAUGGGCGCAAGCCUGAUCCAGCAAUGCCGCGUGCAGGAAGAAGGCCUUCGGGUUGUAAACUGCUUUUGUACGGAGCGAAAAGGUCUUCCCUAAUACGGGAGGCUGAUGACGGUACCGUAAGAAUAAGCACCGGCUAACUACGUGCCAGCAGCCGCGGUAAUACGUAGGGUGCGAGCGUUAAUCGGAAUUACUGGGCGUAAAGCGUGCGCAGGCGGUUUUGUAAGACAGGCGUGAAAUCCCCGGGCUCAACCUGGGAAUGGCGCUUGUGACUGCAAAGCUGGAGUGCGGCAGAGGGGGAUGGAAUUCCGCGUGUAGCAGUGAAAUGCGUAGAUAUGCGGAGGAACACCGAUGGCGAAAGCAAUCCCCUGGGCCUGCACUGACGCUCAUGCACGAAAGCGUGGGGAGCAAACAGGAUUAGAUACCCUGGUAGUCCACGCCCUAAACGAUGUCAACUGGUUGUUGGGUCUUUACUGACUCAGUAACGAAGCUAACGCGUGAAGUUGACCGCCUGGGGAGUACGGGCCGCAAGGUUGAAACUCAAAGGAAUUGACGGGGACCCGCACAGCGGUGGAUGAUGUGGUUUAAUCGAUGCACGCGAAA
Molecule: ribosomal RNA, 1060 nt
Filed under: uncultured beta proteobacterium
Lineage: Bacteria; Pseudomonadati; Pseudomonadota; Betaproteobacteria
Description: bacterial SSU rRNA
Rfam family: Bacterial small subunit ribosomal RNA
Source: RNAcentral